Molecule: long non-coding RNA, 507 nt
Filed under: Lathyrus oleraceus (garden pea)
Lineage: Eukaryota; Viridiplantae; Streptophyta; Magnoliopsida; Fabales; Fabaceae
Description: Pisum sativum (pea) long non-coding RNA (PSAT_LNC025860)
Source: RNAcentral
UUAUUGUUGUUAAGUCUUCAUACUAAUGUUUAGUGUUGAAGAAUCGUUGGUAUUCAUGUUUUUUUCUAAGUGUUUAAGUUUGUUUAAAAGUAUUGGCGAUUUAGUGAAGUUGAUGAGCAAUAGCAAUAUUGGCAACUCAGUGAUGAUGUACAACACUAUUUUCAUAUAAGUAUUUACGUUUUUUUCAUGAUGAAGAUUUUUAUUUUAUUUUAAAAAGGGUGUGUUUCUCUCAUAAAUUUCAUGUGCAUUUUGCCAAAUAACUUUUGGUAGUGUAAUAGUCAUAGUCAUAGUCAUUUAUUAUAAUAGUCAUGUAGGUUGCAUUUGUAAUAAUUAUCGUUUCUCAAACAUGUAAUAUUUGCAAUAUUGAUAGUUUGGAAUGAGUUUUUUUUUUAAUUUUAUUAUUUGCAUCUAUAGGUUUUAAUAUUGUAGUUUUAUAAUGUUUAGCUUAUCUUAUUUACUGAUGGUAAAAAGGGGGGGAAGAAAACAAACAUUAUGCGAAAAUUUUAC